Nannospalax galili (Upper Galilee mountains blind mole rat) is the source of this 139-nucleotide small nucleolar RNA. The record is from Ensembl. Lineage: Eukaryota; Metazoa; Chordata; Mammalia; Rodentia; Spalacidae.
GUCCAAAGUGAUUCCCUCCCCAAAGGAACUAAUGCCCCACUCGGGAAUGUAGCAACUUGGAAGAAAACUUGGCAUAUCUAAGGUCUUUGGGAAGCAAGGAAUGUGAAUUUCCUUUGCCUCACUUUGGCUGCCUACAUGC